GAAUGCGAGGGAGAUUUGGCAGCAAAAUCUGUAACCCCAUUGAUGGCCAGGAUUGAUUCUGCUGAUCUGGAUGGCUAAGUAGGUGUCACCUUCCUCAAUCAUCAUUCUAUGUGUGUCCCUCCCAAACUCAGUAUCAAAGGAUGACCAUGCCCAAUAGAGGAGGACUGUUUCUUUGGUCAAGAGUAUAUGAGUAGCUGUGCUCCUCUGCUAGAACCUCCAAACAAGCUCUAUAAGAAUAUAAAAAGUAAGGAGCCUUAACGUGUAUAGACAAGAUUUAAAUUGCCCCCAGGCAUAGUAGCACAUGCCUGUAAUA
This is a non-coding RNA of Heterocephalus glaber (naked mole-rat), 313 nucleotides long. The record is from Rfam. NCBI's taxonomy places the organism in Eukaryota, Metazoa, Chordata, Mammalia, Rodentia, Bathyergidae.